This is a long non-coding RNA of Haliotis rubra (blacklip abalone), 259 nucleotides long. RefSeq lists it as uncharacterized. The record is from RefSeq and is a predicted model, not a curated record. NCBI's taxonomy places the organism in Eukaryota, Metazoa, Mollusca, Gastropoda, Lepetellida, Haliotidae. The transcript is spliced from 3 exons.
AUAAAUCCACUAUGUGUAUCCUUGUGUAUUCGGUUUUCGGUCAUGUAAGGAUUGUCGACCAACGUAACAUAAAGUGCAUGAAUAAAUCGAUAAUAAACAAACCUUGUUUGUUUGUUAUUUAUUUAUGAUAUUCAAAUAUCUGACGGAUUAACCUCGUGUUUCACCCGCACAGCAGGCCUCAUAGUUCGCUACGCAAAGAUCGUGAAUGCGGAAGUGACGUCAUCUGUUUUCGUUCACUUCAUUGGUUCUCCGUAAAACA